GCAUUGAAACACCAGUUUCCUUAUGAUCACUGAAGUUAAGCAACAUCAAGCCUGGUCAGUACCUAGAUGGGUGACUGCUUGGGAAUACUAUGUGCUGUAAG
Non-coding RNA from Acanthosepion pharaonis, 101 nucleotides. The record is from the annotation of a GenBank genome assembly. Lineage: Eukaryota; Metazoa; Mollusca; Cephalopoda; Sepiida; Sepiidae.